This 402-nucleotide long non-coding RNA is filed under the name Panax ginseng (ginseng). RNAcentral's name for it is "long non-coding RNA (PGIN_LNC003630)". Lineage: Eukaryota; Viridiplantae; Streptophyta; Magnoliopsida; Apiales; Araliaceae. The record is from RNAcentral.
AAGAAUUAAUGCACAAAAUCAAGAAAAUCCAAGAAAAUUUAAGAUACAAAAGUCAACUGAAAAUUAUUGGAAAGGGAGAAACCCAUUUCACCUGAAAUCAAAAUUAAAAAACGGUUUUGUCAAAAACCCAAAAUCCAUAAACAAACUGCAGCUGAAAAAUUGAGAGAGAAAUAAGCAAGGAGAUCAGAGACAGCCACAAAGCUUAAAAGAGGUAAAAACAAAGAUAUAAGAACAUUGUAGGAGAGAUGAAGAAAUGAAGUGGAUUGAGAUGAAGAAAUCUGCAAAAAAUGAAAACAGGGGAAAUCUUAUUAUAGGAAGAAAUACGGGGAGUAAAAUGGAAGCAAAUCCUAGUACGGGCGUAGUUCGUACCGCGUACAGCUAGGAGUGGGCAACGGGUAAAAA